This 252-nucleotide ribosomal RNA is filed under the name uncultured bacterium. Its description in RNAcentral is "partial 16S ribosomal RNA". It matches the Rfam family "Bacterial small subunit ribosomal RNA", at positions 524 to 776 of the family's 1533-position model. The record is from RNAcentral.
UACGUAGGUCCCGAGCGUUGUCCGGAUUUAUUGGGCGUAAAGCGAGCGCAGGUGGUUUAUUAAGUCUGGUGUAAAAGGCAGUGGCUCAACCAUUGUAUGCAUUGGAAACUGGUAGACUUGAGUGCAGGAGAGGAGAGUGGAAUUCCAUGUGUAGCGGUGAAAUGCGUAGAUAUAUGGAGGAACACCGGUGGCGAAAGCGGCUCUAUGGCCUGUAGCUGACACUGAGGCUCGAAAGCGUGGGGAGCAAACAGG